RNAcentral lists this ribosomal RNA (546 nucleotides) under uncultured fungus. RNAcentral describes it as "eukaryotic LSU rRNA". The stretch from base 202 to 355 matches the Rfam family "5.8S ribosomal RNA". Lineage: Eukaryota; Fungi. The record is from RNAcentral.
AAGUCGUAACAAGGUCUCCGUAGGUGAACCUGCGGAGGGAUCAUUACAAGAACGCCCGGGCUUCGGCCUGGUUAUUCAUAACCCUUUGUUGUCCGACUCUGUUGCCUCCGGGGCGACCCUGCCUUCGGGCGGGGGCUCCGGGUGGACACUUCAAACUCUUGCGUAACUUUGCAGUCUGAGUAAACUUAAUUAAUAAAUUAAAACUUUUAACAACGGAUCUCUUGGUUCUGGCAUCGAUGAAGAACGCAGCGAAAUGCGAUAAGUAAUGUGAAUUGCAGAAUUCAGUGAAUCAUCGAAUCUUUGAACGCACAUUGCGCCCCCUGGUAUUCCGGGGGGCAUGCCUGUUCGAGCGUCAUUUCACCACUCAAGCCUCGCUUGGUAUUGGGCAACGCGGUCCGCCGCGUGCCUCAAAUUGUCCGGCUGGGUCUUCUGUCCCCUAAGCGUUGUGGAAACUAUUCGCUAAAGGGUGUUCGGGAGGCUACGCCGUAAAACAACCCCAUUUCUAAGGUUGACCUCGGAUCAGGUAGGGAUACCCGCUGAACUUAA